AUUGAACGCUGGCGGCAUGCCUUACACAUGCAAGUCGAACGGCAGCACGGGGGCAACCCUGGUGGCGAGUGGCGAACGGGUGAGUAAUGCAUCGGAACGUGCCCAGUAGUGGGGGAUAACUAGUCGAAAGAUUAGCUAAUACCGCAUACGACCUACGGGUGAAAGCGGGGGAUUCGCAAGAACCUCGCGCUAUCGGAGCGGCCGAUGUCUGAUUAGCUAGUUGGCGGGGAAAAGCCCACCAAGGCUUCGAUCAGUAGCUGGUCUGAGAGGACGACCAGCCACACUGGGACUGAGACACGGCCCAGACUCCUACGGGAGGCAGCAGUGGGGAAUUUUGGACAAUGGGCGCAAGCCUGAUCCAGCCAUGCCGCGUGCGGGAAGAAGGCCU
Molecule: ribosomal RNA, 388 nt
Filed under: uncultured bacterium
Lineage: Bacteria
Description: bacterial SSU rRNA
Rfam family: Bacterial small subunit ribosomal RNA
Source: RNAcentral